AAAAAAAGAGAAAAAAAAUUGAACACGUAUUGGACUUUUAAAAAGUCAUUGUACAGAACAUGAUGAAAAUACACCUCUUUGCCGCCAUUUUACUUGGAAUUGUCGUCUGCUCCGCCAUCGCUGCUAACCUCGAUGACGUCAGCUGCAUGGCCCCGGAUGGUACGAAAGUCCGACCCGGGGAAACGAAGUUUGUAAAUCCGUGUAUGUUCUGUACCUGUAUGGCGGGGGAGAAGGAGGCAGUGUGUGCCCCCAUUGAUUGUCCCCCUGAAAAAUGUGAAAAUCGAGUCUAUAAAGAAGGAAUGUGUUGUCCAGUUUGCCAAUAAAACAAGAUUCUUUCCAAUAAUGAAACAGUACAAAAAC
Molecule: long non-coding RNA, 360 nt
Organism: Saccostrea cuccullata (small rock oyster)
Lineage: Eukaryota; Metazoa; Mollusca; Bivalvia; Ostreida; Ostreidae
Exons: 3
Source: RefSeq, a predicted model, not a curated record